RNAcentral lists this ribosomal RNA (1372 nucleotides) under uncultured bacterium. RNAcentral describes it as "bacterial SSU rRNA". It matches the Rfam family "Bacterial small subunit ribosomal RNA", at positions 28 to 1381 of the family's 1533-position model. The record is from RNAcentral.
GAUGAACGCUGGCGGCGUGCCUAAUACAUGCAAGUCGAGCGAACGGACGAGAAGCUUGCUUCUCUGAUGUUAGCGGCGGACGGGUGAGUAACACGUGGAUAACCUACCUAUAAGACUGGGAUAACUUCGGGAAACCGGAGCUAAUACCGGAUAAUAUUUUGAACCGCAUGGUUCAAAAGUGAAAGACGGUCUUGCUGUCACUUAUAGAUGGAUCCGCGCUGCAUUAGCUAGUUGGUAAGGUAACGGCUUACCAAGGCAACGAUGCAUAGCCGACCUGAGAGGGUGAUCGGCCACACUGGAACUGAGACACGGUCCAGACUCCUACGGGAGGCAGCAGUAGGGAAUCUUCCGCAAUGGGCGGAAGCCUGACGGAGCAACGCCGCGUGAGUGAUGAAGGUCUUCGGAUCGUAAAACUCUGUUAUUAGGGAAGAACAUAUGUGUAAGUAACUGUGCACAUCUUGACGGUACCUAAUCAGAAAGCCACGGCUAACUACGUGCCAGCAGCCGCGGUAAUACGUAGGUGGCAAGCGUUAUCCGGAAUUAUUGGGCGUAAAGCGCGCGUAGGCGGUUUUUUAAGUCUGAUGUGAAAGCCCACGGCUCAACCGUGGAGGGUCAUUGGAAACUGGAAAACUUGAGUGCAGAAGAGGAAAGUGGAAUUCCAUGUGUAGCGGUGAAAUGCGCAGAGAUAUGGAGGAACACCAGUGGCGAAGGCGACUUUCUGGUCUGUAACUGACGCUGAUGUGCGAAAGCGUGGGGAUCAAACAGGAUUAGAUACCCUGGUAGUCCACGCCGUAAACGAUGAGUGCUAAGUGUUAGGGGGUUUCCGCCCCUUAGUGCUGCAGCUAACGCAUUAAGCACUCCGCCUGGGGAGUACGACCGCAAGGUUGAAACUCAAAGGAAUUGACGGGGACCCGCACAAGCGGUGGAGCAUGUGGUUUAAUUCGAAGCAACGCGAAGAACCUUACCAAAUCUUGACAUCCUUUGACAACUCUAGAGAUAGAGCUUUCCCCUUCGGGGGACAAAGUGACAGGUGGUGCAUGGUUGUCGUCAGCUCGUGUCGUGAGAUGUUGGGUUAAGUCCCGCAACGAGCGCAACCCUUAAGCUUAGUUGCCAUCAUUAAGUUGGGCACUCUAAGUUGACUGCCGGUGACAAACCGGAGGAAGGUGGGGAUGACGUCAAAUCAUCAUGCCCCUUAUGAUUUGGGCUACACACGUGCUACAAUGGACAAUACAAAGGGCAGCGAAACCGCGAGGUCAAGCAAAUCCCAUAAAGUUGUUCUCAGUUCGGAUUGUAGUCUGCAACUCGACUACAUGAAGCUGGAAUCGCUAGUAAUCGUAGAUCAGCAUGCUACGGUGAAUACGUUCCCGGGUCU